Long non-coding RNA from Varanus komodoensis (Komodo dragon), 11681 nucleotides. RefSeq lists it as uncharacterized. The transcript has 3 exons. The record is from RefSeq and is a predicted model, not a curated record. NCBI's taxonomy places the organism in Eukaryota, Metazoa, Chordata, Lepidosauria, Squamata, Varanidae.
CUUUCAUCUAACAACAGAGAACGAGGGAUAAAAUGUGAGUUCUGUUACAGAACAAUUUCUUAUUCAAAGCCAUAAGAACAGAAGAGACCUUUUUCCACAGAUGCCUCUGGUAGAGAGAGUAAGUUUGGGAGAGCGGGCAAAAUACUCUUCCGGAAUGAGGAAGUAAACGGCAUGUUUGAAGUGCAGAUGAACAUAAGCGACCAGUGAAGUAAAGCUUUCAAAAAUUCUUUGCUGUCUGGUGAGAAGGCAGCGGCCACGUCAUUGCGGAGGCUGGUGCCUACGUGGGACAAAGCCCAUCACCCCUCUUCGCCUCUUUGGCUGUCAUACGCGCAAUUCACACCUGGGAGUAAAGAAAUGUUUUCCGAUAGCAGCUUAGUACAACCAGCACCGCACGACCCAUAUCAGUUACAAAAUACUUUGAACCACGCAGGCAGGGUGUGUUUAUAACGUGUUUGAAACUUUGGGCGUCCCUGCGAGGCGAGCUAGGAAUGUCCUUGCUAAAUACCUGCUUGCCCCAUUAGGUAAUACUGUCCCUUAGGCAUGUUGCUUCCUUUAAUUAGUUCUCAUGCAAGGAGCGGUCCCCAGACAAAGGGGCAGAUAAUGCUCUCUGGCCUCCUCAGCGGUGUCCCCUCCUUUAUGCAUCUGUCCAGUGCUGCUCAGCAGGGCUGGUAUCAGACACGGGCACGGUGGGCGCUUGCCAAGUGCCCACAGACCAGCAGGGCCCCGGCAGCCAGGGCUCCCUGUGUCCGUCCCUCCUCCGCCAGCUGCUUGUUCCACUGCCUUUCCGUCGGGCCCGCGGCAGGGAUGGUGGCUCUCUGCGGGUCGCCCAAGUGGCAGCAAGGCUAAGAAAAGGCGAGGCGCGAUAGGUGAAAAGCAGUGGCAGCUGGUGACGGUGGCAGUCACAGUGGGGGGCGGGGGGGGCUGCUGCCUGUUGCAAACUGGCCGGUUCACUUCAGCUCUUGGGCGACAGGGAAUGGAGACAAAUCAACUGGAGCGAGACUGCCUCGCCCAAAGGCCCUCGAAAACCUGGCACUGGUACUGCUGGUUCGUCCGGUCACUACCGAAAUAUGGCGGUGCUAAUUCUGUACUGAUCUUGCAGGAUUCUUUCCUGGAUACCCUGCUGGAAAAGGCUGCCUUCGUUGGCAGGAAUGUUGUGAACAUGAAAGGAAAGAACUACUUGAGACAAAGACUGGAGGACCAGGUAAUCUCUGCUUUCUCCGACAGGCCUCAAUGCUAUAAAUUUAGUCAGAGAAGAAACUUGUGGAAGACCCCCUCCCACAAAAGUUUUCCGCAUGUAUCUAUUGUUGAGAAGGUCAUGGAACUCAGCGCAAAACUGGAAUGUGGGGAGGUGGAGAGAAUAUGAACACAGAGGAAGGACACGCAAAUAAGAGCAUUAAAUCCUGGGAGUACUUUGGGUACUUCAUCACCUCAAUUUUAUUAAUUCUGCGUACUUUAAGUGGUAUUUUAUUUGCAUUAGUAAAAUAAGUGGAGUUUCUCUUUAUUAAAAGGGCGCAGUGGCUCAGCAGGUAAGACGCUGAGCUUGUCGAUCGAAAGGUCGGCAGUCUGAAUCCCUAGUGCCACAUAACAGAGUGAGCUCCCGUUGCUCCGUCCCAGCUCCUGCCAACCUUGCAGCUCAAAAGCAUGCAAAUGCAAGUAGAUAAAAAGGUGCCACUUCGGUGGGCAGGUAACAGCGUUCUGUGCACUUCGGUGUUUAGUCAUGCCGGCCACAUGGCCACGGAAGUGUCCUUGGAUAAAGCCAGCUCUUUGGCUCGUAAGAGAUGAGCACCGCCCCUGGAGUCGGACACAUGUGCAAGGGAAACCUUUACUGUUACCUUACCUUUGUAUUAAGUGGGGGGAAAUCUAUUAAAGAAGCCAUGUAUUUCCUCUGCCAUCAUAAUCUAGUGAAAACAGGGAGACUUGUCAAGACACAAACUGUUAGAACUGUACAGAGACAGGGACAACUCCAUUACAACAGAGUGGGACGUUAGCUUCUCGUCAAGGGCUCGUGCCCAAGCCACGACCGUGAGACGUGAUACCUGCACUGUAUAUUAGCUCCGAGCCUCCCUAUCCAUGUCAACCCAGAAGGAAGCCCCGCUAGGUCCAGUGGUGCUUACUCUCAGGGAAGAGGGCACAGGAGUGCCUCAUGGGCCAGCUGACCAAAAGACAACUCUCGAGCCAGCAAGAAGGGCCACGUCUGUGGGAGCCGUAGCCCAAACCAUCUGGAAGGCACCCCGGCCCCGAUGCAGUCACUACGGAGCGAAGGACUAAACUGCCCAACUGUAGUGCAGGCCCCAACUGUUCCCAGCCAGCUGCAAGCCGGUUUGGGCGAGCAGAGUUGCUUCAGGGCCCAUAUUAGAAAAUUUAACACAGGCUAGUAGGAACUCUCCGUGGUGUUCUAUCAAACGAACCCACCAACUUCAACUGGAAGGUGUGGUGGUUCUUGUUUUCAAGUGGUCCCCAAGGUGACCUGUUUGGUUCCCAAAGAUACCUCCGAGACGCGCUAUUGAUUUUGCGGAGGUAACGCUGCCGUACGCAGUGCACUGAAGACGAAAGCCACGCAUACCGUGUGGCAUUAAGUUCAUUCUUGGCCAAUUCUCUGAACUGACACAUCCAGUAGGAAGUGCCUCGCAAGCCUCGCUGGAGAAAGAACUCUGAAAAGGGGGCUGGUGCUGGUCACAAAUAACCUGACUUGGGACACGGACCCACGGCAAUGACCGUACGUCCCCACACUCACUGAGGCUGCAACGGUUGUGACCUCGCGGGCUGCCCCCUCUGCACGUUUCGCUAGGUGGCCUUUUCCACCCGUCUGGCUGCGGGACACUGGAGAGGCACCAGGAAAGCGCAUGUCUUGCCCUCUCACGCUUUUGCCCCUCUGCCUGAAAACCCCUCUUCCGCCCCCUCCAGGGUGGUUUUUCUGACCCACGAUGGUAGCUGGUGCUACGUUCUUCUUUUUGCAUUUGGUUAUGGGUAAUGUCAGAUUUGUUCGGCUUGUAAGUCAAGGAAGUAUGUUUAAAAUAACCCGACUGUUGUAUUUGGAGGUUUAGAUGCUUGCAUAGAACCUACCAACUCUGCAUAUAAUUAAAAGGGAUUCUGAGCAGGGACCUUGCUGUUCACCCACAUUCACUGUACAGAGAACAAAAUAAAACAAAGGCUUUGCUUGAAAGAUGCAAUAAUUAACUUUGCCUUUCAUUUCUAAUUACUACUAGCUGUGAAGAGACCAUGGAGAAGGCAAGGUUUUUAUUCAAUUCAGCGACCACCUGCGUAAGGGCCUUUAAAUAUCUGCCUACACUAGGGAAAUCGGCCCCAGAAGUCUACCCUGCAGAAAAUGAGGGCAUUUUCUAAUUCUUUUUGAGAAAAGUCCUGCGUCAAGAAGGCAAUCAUUGCAACGACUGUGCUGCUGUUUCUCUUCACCUCCCAGAGGAUUCUCUACUAUACAAGUUAAGACAUCAAUUCUAAGGCAGGAAUUUGCCCUGAGAGUGUACCAGGGCAACCAGCAGCCAAGAAAGGGCCUUUUGUCGUGUAUAUCAUGUCCGUUGCACCAAAUGGAAAAUGGCAAGACAAAAGUUUUAAGGCAGAGGACUCAGGAAAGAAAACACUUUCUAAACAUGCUUAGCAGUGCUGUCUUUAGCUUUCACAGCAUUCAUAGAAUUACCUUCUGCUGAUGCUACGUGAAGGCAGCUUUUCUUGAUAUGUUCAUUAAAUGCUGGACAGGAAAAGCAAUCCAGUUCAGAAUGCCUCCAGCCCAAACACUCUUCUUUCCAGCUCAGAAGGAGCCAAUCUCCUAGUAAGGGACUUGCAACUCUGAAGCGUGAAAACGGCGUUACGCACUUAGUCAUCCACUUUUAAACCAGCUCAGUGGGACACUAGUCAAUUCAGGCCAGAGGCUCUUCCGCCAACCCCACCGCACUCAGACCUUCAGGUCCUCUGCCAUGCUUGUACGUCCAUCUUUUAUUUCUUAUGCAAACGGGUUCUAAUGUGGAAGACCAAUAGAGUGGUGAAGGACUACAAGACCCAUUCUGUAUCUGGAAGUUCCCAGGUUUACUCCUCAGCAUCUCCAGUUAAGUGGAUGAUGGGAAACACCUCCAGCUGGAGACCUGCGGAGUCACUGCCGGUAAAAUUGGGCCAUAUUGGACCAAAUAAACCGAGAAGCUGCAAUGCCAGUUUGUAUGUUCCUCACUGCCAGAAUGUUUUGCAAAUAUUUUGACGACAAAGACAAUAAUAAUGACGAACAGCUGCAAGGCAGGACCUGAAACAUGGCCGAAAGAGGGAAACAAGGCCUUUGGUACCACUUUCUUUAGUCUUACUGGCAUUUUAGCACUGACAUUUGAAGUAGUAUUUAUAAUUCUAGUGAAUGCUAAUCAAUACUCACUAUAAUUACAUAGUAUGUUCCAGCCAUAAUCUUGUUUCCUAACUUAGGAUUUCUCACCACACGUAUCUAGAACUGAUGAAGCACAUGCUACUGUUCACAUCAGAGCAAGAGUGGGGAAGCGGUGAACUCCACGCACCGGACGUCACAAUGCAGGUUAAUGCAAGAGCCUUCUGAGGGACUGUGCUUGUGUGAGUGUGAGUGUGAAACAGCGGCCACAGGCUGCACAUUUCAGUGACUCCGUCUGUGUGGGGGCGGUGGGGAAGGGUCCCCAUUUCUCAUGGAGGCUUCCUUCCAAGCCUCUCCCCCACCCGCAAAGGAAAACGGUAAGGGAAGCCCCGCAGCUGAAGGGGAAUGUACGUCAAGGAGCAGGCAGGAUGUGCUUUAACAGCACCUCCAGCCUGGGAGGAGGAGAUGCGCGAAUCAUUGCCGAAGCUACGCAGAGCGCUUGGGCGCUGCGUUCCCGCAACUAUGGAAGGACAAGGCACGCUGCAGGAGGGGGCAUGUAGUGUUGCUAUGGUAAUUAUUAUUUUUCGUGAGCCGUGUACACUCAGCGCUGAUGCUGAGUUACCCAAGAGCAAUUACGCCAAUUAGAAUGUGUGUGGAAUGGAAUGUUGCUGAAGUUUUUACAAAAACGUUCUGCUUGUAUUUGAGCACACGUGAAAGCCAACGGAGGGACAGGGUGACGGGAAGGGUCCAGCCCUUGCCGGGCUGCCACUCACGGGGUUCUCGCAACGUGGCAACCCACCGUGGCUCAUAAAGCGGGGCUUUCCCCAGUGCCCCCUCCAUCGUGCUGGAGGCGACGCCGUCUUAGGAACAUGCUGGUUUGGGGCGUGUUUCCCUGGCGGGCCUGGAAAUUGCGCUCGACGGGGAAAGAUCCAGGAAUCCUGGUUCUGCCUGGCAGAAUGCUAGGGGCCCUUCAGAGAGAGGAGCUCCCUGCAAAAGGGGGGGGGGGCGUGAGCAGGUGCAGCGCCGCUCUCCCCGGGCUCCCAAGGCAUCUGAUCACUCGGCCUGACAACUGGCAAAUACCGAUUGCGGGGGAGAGCUGCUAGGCUGCACACUGAGGGGUGCUGUGCCCAGGAUGGGGACCUGCACACCCAUCCCGAGGUCCCCCCGUGACUUGCGUAUCACCGCGAUCGCCCACAGUGGUGCGUACGGGGAACUGGUCUGGUGUGGUGGUGAGGAGUGUGGGGCUGGAACUCGGCAAUCCAGGUUUUAGGCUCUGCUCUCAGCCCCACCUGCCUCACAGGGUUGUUGUUGUGGGGAUAAGACUGAGAGCAGCAGGAGGAGAAUGGUGUGAGCUGCUUUGAGUUCUUUGAAAAGCUAAAAAGCAGGAUAUAGAUCCGUCCGUCCGUCCAUCCGUCCUUCCUUCGCUGUACCGUCCCAUACUUAGACGUUUCGGGACAGUUUACAAUGAAUUAAUACCGGUAGCGAUAAAACCUUCUUCAAAAUCAAUUUCCCUAAAUAUUUUGCAACACUUAAUUUAGGGAAAAAAUAAAAGAAAUUACCCUCCCUGGGCAGCUAUUAUUGUUAUUGAGUUAAAUUUUUAUGUUCUGUGGAAAUAAUACUAAUGUGUAUGAAUCGCCCCCGAAAUGCAGUACAUUACAGCACACAGCUUCAGUAUACCAUGAAAAUUCCCAUGGACUGGGAGUGCAGUCAGCAAGAUAUCAGAUGCCUCCUGUCACUAAUGCUGUAUUGCUAUGAAGAAGAGAUGCGUAAUGCCUUUUGAUGAAAAGAUCUAUGCAAUAUUUAUUCCAAUAAAAUUCCUGGAGAUGAGUAAGGAUAGAUGGAAAGAGAAGUACCCCAUCACAUGCCUCUUUUAAUCUAUUCUAUCUUAUAUUUCCUGGAAGAAAAACUUGACGAAGUAAUAGAAAAUGCUACCUUAGCUCUUCCUCAGCUUGUCAGCCCUUCUGGAACUGCCUUCUCAAAAGAGAGUGGGGAGGUACGGACAGAAAGUGCACAGGUCAUCUCCUCUCAGCCUGGCCGUAGAGGAAACAGACGCCGCCACCUCCGAAUAUCCCAGGAAGGACUAGAAGAAAGGAUUAUUUCUGAGUUCUUAGAGAAGAGUGCAUGACAUUCGGCUCAAGAGAAAAGGCUUCACUUCCCACAGGAGAUGUAAGUUUGCUUUAUUAACAUUUGAUAUGGACAAGAAAUGUGAAUAAUUAUCUGGUAUAAGUAUAGGAACUGACAGUGUUAUACAGCGUUUGUUUCUUUCUGGUGGCUCGGAAGGUACCACAACCCACUCCACAGACAUAGUAACCCACCCCACGGUCUCAUGUGCUGACACAUACACACAUGCUAGUGAUGCUAAGCAAGUAACUGCAGUAUUCUCUCGCUUACUGCAGGGAGAGCGUGAGGGAUUUUACUCACAGUGAGGGAUGUUCCCAAAUACGGAUACCCUGGGAAAUUCCAGCUUAAAGCUGGGCCAGCAAAAUUGUCUGUCUCUAAAGCAGCAGCCUUUUAAAAUGCUUUAUAUUUAAUCACCAAAUGAUUAGCAGAGGAAGAAGAACCAUCUUUUAAAUAUCCCAUUUUUAUUCCACAGCAAUUUUUAUAUCAAAGUUAUUGUCAGUAUUUUAAAUGUCUCUAAUUCUCUAAAAGUCUGCAAGCAUAUUUAAAAGCAACCCUUUUAUAAAACCACGCAUUUCCCAGAAGAAAGGGGAGAGCAUUUUAAUAGUUCUAAUGCCAAAAAUAUGAAGUAGUGGAUCUAAAAAUCUGAGGCAGAGUUCAAAAAGGGAAAUAUUCAGGCUUCCCACCACAGAACACAGCUCACCAAUGCACCAACUUAGUAUUGACUGGUUGCUAAUCAUUCAUUUUCUUUCAGUGCCUCAAAAGAUGUUGUUAGCCUAAACAGACCUGCUUGCAGACCUACAUUAGAUUUAUUUAGCAACUGCAUCAGCCAAAGGACAUAGACACAGUACACAGUUCAAAGCCCAUAAGCACAUAGCAAACAUGUUUUAAAAUUCUACAUCCAUUUUAAAGGGAGCCACGGCUCUUCAUAACCUCUGGAGUUCAAAGAACUACAGAUUGUUUCAAGAACACUUUGAGAAUAAGCCAGGAUCUCAACAUACAGUUUAAUCCUGGCUUGUUCUCUAACCAUAGUUAAAACGAGCCAUAUUUCCAUACAUUUGGGUAUCAUGGGGGAAUUGUGGUUAGUCCAUGCCAGAGGAGGAGAAGGGAAGGGUUGUGAAUGUAAAGGCUUAACAUGGCCUGUUCAUGUCAUGAGAAACCAUGACGUCCCAUCAAGCCUUCUCCUGAAUUCCUCUGUAUUGACAAAGCCCUCACUCAUGGUGUCUGAAGGCUGCUGUCCACACAAGCCCUCUAUGGUGCAGGUCACUACCAGACUGGCGUAUUUCACUUGUAUUUCAGAAUGCUUAGAAACCAAGGUAGAUACCAUGUUAUCUUUUUGAAGGAGGAACAGCUGUCACUUGGAUCAAGGUUUCUGCACCUUUGCCGGGGAACUGUCUCUGGAUGGAAAUCUGUGACUCAGACAUUGACUGCUGCCUGUGGUAGAGUCUGUCACGGCCCUGAACCCUCCUCUGCAUCCCAUUUUCGUGUUCACCUCCCUGGUUCCCAACAAAGAAAUGGUUGCACAUCACAGGUGUAUCGCUGCACACCUGCCCAGAAAGAGUCUGAAAGGGAACAAACCCAGCAGAUGUCUGAACCCAAACAGUGUUGUACAGACCCCGUUGGGUGCUAUAGAAGGCAAAACCAGGCAGCCUUUCAUGUAGAUCAGAAAUCAGCAACAUAGUAGUAAUUAAAGUAUUAGUAAUAAGACCCCACUGUGCAAUAAUCACCUGUAUUGCAUGUCUCUGAUAAAGAAUUGUGAUCUUCCAAUGAGAAAAUUCAGUUGCUGAAAAUUAGCAUUGACAUCCGAACUUAGGCAAGUAAUACAUAGUCAAGGGCCUCCCCCCCAGGGGAAAAGUGAUUCUCCUCCUUAGCCGUGAAAGAACAGGAUACGUGAGCAAAGCAAAUGGCCCCUGUGAUGGUCCUGCACUUCCUUUGGCCCCAAUCCUAUACAAAUCCUAACCUUUGUGGGACUCCACUGCGUGUGACCCUGAAGAGGCCACGAUCACAUUUUUCCAUCCCAAAAUAAUAGCAAUUUACCUCGCCAUGGGCCAUGGGAAAGUGGAAAAUGUUUGUUUGUGUACCUCUUGCUAUGCGUACAACUGAUUUAAUUUUGUUUCCUUACUAUUCAUGUCAGAAGGAGAGUUCUUUGACCCACUGUGUGCUAUGCAAUCCGUCAAAUCCUUUUGAGGCCACAUAAACAUAAAUGGAAUUAAAAGAAUGUGAUAAGAAAAGUUGAUCAAAACACUGUUUUUAUUUGUUCCCUCUCCAGACAAUGGACAAUAGGAAUAGUCAGCCUAGGAAGCCACAGCAAGCACAAGCUUAACCACGGCGGCUUCCCUUCUCCCUUCCCAUGAGAUGCUGAGCAAGCCAGGAACUGCAGGUAACUGGCUCCCCGUUGCCUCCUGAUGGGAAAUCAAUGGUUAAUAGCUUCCAACCUAACUAAGGCCAAGAAGCCAUCUUUAAACCGUGGCUUCCUAUUCUGACUUCUCCGGGAUAUGGGAAGUCGUCAUUUCCUGGUUCAGACAUAAUGGAAGUUAAACCGCAUAGUUAACUGUGGUUCUUGCCUAGUUUCAGUGUUUAAGUGAAGGGAGGAAUUAAGCGGCUGCGUGCGAGGACCUGACACUUGUGCAUAUCUCUGCUUAUUAGGCAAAUUAUCUUCAUCUUCCUAAUGCGACCACCGUGUGGGGAAGAUAAAGCAAUUCUGAAUCAGCCAAGAAUAAGAGCUUAAAAGCACCGGAGCAUAUAAUCUCCGCAGCACAAAGACGAACACUGACGGAAGAAGUAAUUUGGUUCGUACGCUGCUCUUGCAUCUCCUCAAUAAGGUACUGAAGAUAACUACUAAUAUUUUCCAGAAGCUGCCGAAUGAGCUGUAAACACCAAUCCUAUAAUACAAGGACUACGGGACUGUGGAACAAAUAAUUUAUUUCGCCUUCUGUGCUCCUGACAGUAAGCGACUGCACGCUGACAACCGGGAGCCCCCCAAAAUGGGCACGGCACCAAGAAUUCCAGGACUGCAGACAGCCGCUUAGUAAUCAGCUUCCAGCACAUAAUGCCCGAGCAACACAAUGGCUGCUUAAGGACACCGAAUCCUCUCGCUGCACAUGCCCACCUUGCGGACAGAAACUGCAGACGUGUUUUCUGCGGAAGGGACUCCUGAGAUGAAAGCUGCGAACGACGGACAGGCAGGCCCACUUCCUCUGGCAACCAGGGCGUGUGACGACAGGCCUGGAUCACUCCCUGCAUAGCGGCUCCCACUGCCCUGUUCUGAUAGAGGCUUCUGUGAGUAUUCCUUCAGAGCUAUACAUUCACGAGGGAAGGCAAGAUUGGUGGGCAACCUUGUGAAUUCACAAAACGCACCACUUGGUUUCUUCUCUGUCCGUGCACUCAAGUGAAAACAGGGCACUAUCGGCCACGGAUUCCGAUCCACACUGCAGCAGACAUUCCCAAGUGUUCUCAGAGCUUUUUAGUUGGAAACGCUGCGGGGGCACAAGGCGUCAGGAGAGCUCAACCUCUUGACCAGGAGCCUCAAUAGAACAAAAAUGGAGAAACCUCCAUUUGCAAGCAAAAGGGAAUGAUCAAGAGGAGUAUUUUUACAAAAAAAUAAAACCUAGACAGAACAAAAGAAAAAUACCGUCUACAGGCUUUAUACCAAGGGAAAUCCAUUUUACUGGUGUAUUACAUUUUUAUCCUGUCGCAAGAAACUCAGGGUAAGCACACACGGUUUUCUCCCGCUCACCUAUUUUAUUCUCACAACAAUCCUAUGGGGUAGGUCAGCUGAGAGACAGCAACAGCAUCUGGGUGGGUAUUUUAAGGCCACCCCAGACAAUCUUAUUUCAGCUUAUUACUGCUUAGCAACUUUGGCCGAGAUAUGAACAAGCUGUUUCCGCCUUCCAUUACAUAGCAUCAGAGUGCAAUGCAGAAAUAUCUAAUUAACGAUAAUUUCCAGUUUCAUCCAAAAUGGGGAACCAGGGUUAUUAGAGUUUGGGAGCAAGUCAAGAUCUUAAACCAAUUUCAUGCUGUAGUUUAAGAUCCCAACUUGUUUCAAAGUCCUUAAGUGACAACCAAUGUUUCCCAGUAUGGACAAAACAGGGCAUGUUUGUAAUGAGUAAUGAGAUACUUUCUGUUUUAAUUGCAGCCAAGCAAAGGGAAGAGCAAACAGUCAGAAUGCUUUCUUGGCUUAAUAACAGGAUAUCUGAAUCUGGCUGUUAUAACCACUACACAACUCUCGCUAGACGUUUUUUAUUAAAAGCUGCAACUAUCUUACAAGUAGGUAUGAAUUCCUAAGUGGCAGCACACAUCGAAAGAAAAGCAAUUAGACAUUCCAAAGUAAUGUGCAAUUAGAAAGCCCAAAUGAGGAGCAGCUUCUCUCCAAGCACACCUUAAUAUUCUCCGCAUUUCGGCUGUCAUGGCAGCGCCUAUAUAUUAAGGCUAAAAGCCUUCAUCGAUUAAUCAGGGCAAUGAAUCAAAUCAAUUAGUGGCUGACAAAUUAAAAUGUGGACUUUUAAUUAUCUCUUAAUAAGAGCUGCCCCCUUGCUAACAGACUGUACACUGUAGCACAGAGACGAGCUUUUUUCCUACAGCCAGCAGGUGCCAAUGACAGGUGGGAAAGGUGUUGAUUCAAAAGGACUUAAUGUGGCUUUUUUUUCUUAACUUGCUCACUUCUUUAAUACUUUGGUCCUUGUCUUUACAACUGUUAUCUCUACAAACAAAAGGGCUGGUAUUCCAGGAUUCAUACACCCAAAAAUCCCUUUUUGAUAACAGAAAGAGCUAUAUUGCAGACCAUGAGUCUAUCCUGCCCGAUGUUUGUGCGACUGGAUGAAGAUUUCCCCGUCUAGUCUGGGGGUGCCAAUGACUGAACCUGGAACCUCUGCGUGCAAGGCAGGGUCUCUACCACUGAACUUCGGCCCAUGAACUUUUACUAUCAAAAUUCAGAGCGGAGGUGAAAAGAUGAACCUUACAAAAGCAGCCCAUGACGGGUGGCGACUCAUGUCCAAAUGCCUGGGAAAAUAAGUACGUCUUCAUAUGCGCUGUAAAGUUGGAAGGGCAUAGAGUGGUUAAGAGAUUUCAGAACAGGGCCAUGCUAAUAUUAGCUGUACUCUCACAGAUAAAAAGGAAGGAAUGCUUUGCUGGAUUGCAAGACAUGCUUGCACAGAGGAUACACUAACAUUUUAUAAAAUUGUAAGCCGUCUGGAGACGUUUAGUGGAAGACGGGAUAAACAUGUUUUAUUAAAUUAAAAUUAAACUCAAA